Trifolium pratense (red clover) is the source of this 450-nucleotide long non-coding RNA. RefSeq lists it as uncharacterized. The record is from RefSeq and is a predicted model, not a curated record. The transcript has 2 exons. NCBI's taxonomy places the organism in Eukaryota, Viridiplantae, Streptophyta, Magnoliopsida, Fabales, Fabaceae.
UAGUGUGUGUGCAUGUAGUGAGCUUGGUUUGAGUGGUGGCUAGGAUCUUUCCUUGUUGAGCAAGAAGAAUCAAGUGACCAAGAAUUAAUCUCACAAGAUAUUUAUGAUCAUGAAUAGGAAAUCACAAUUUCAUUCAUUCAUUUUUCUUUCCAAAACCGUGAGCCUCCUUUGCUUACUCCUAACCAUCACCAAUUUUUCAUUCCUUAGCCAAAUUCAAUUAUUAGAAGCUUGUUGGAACCAUGAGGGUUCAUAGAUCAUCAUCCCUAAGCUAGGGCAAGCAAGAGAGCAAAGCAAGAGGGUGCUAGGACUUGAGAAAGGGAGGAACUCAUGAGAGCUAGAUCAUGAGGAGCUUGAGGAUUCAUCAAAUUUCUAAGAUAUCCAGAUUGACAGGUUAUAUGUUAGCUUGUCCGAGUAGCGUGGUGAAGCUCCGCUCUGAUUGUGACACGGGGA